RNAcentral lists this ribosomal RNA (429 nucleotides) under uncultured bacterium. Its description in RNAcentral is "partial 16S ribosomal RNA". It matches the Rfam family "Bacterial small subunit ribosomal RNA", at positions 355 to 773 of the family's 1533-position model. The record is from RNAcentral.
UGGGGAAUUUUGGACGAAUUGGGCGAAAGCCUGAUCCAGCAAUGCCGCGUGUGUGAAGAAGGCCUUCGGGUUGUAAAGCACUUUUGUCCGGAAAGAAAUCCUUGGCUCUAAUACAGUCGGGGGAGUGACGGUACCGGAAGAAUAAGCACCGGCUAACUACGUGCCAGCAGCCGCGGUAAUACGUAGGGUGCAAGCGUUAAUCGGAAUUACUGGGCGUAAAGCGUGCGCAGGCGGUUUGCUAAGACCGAUGUGAAAUCCCCGGGCUCAACCUGGGAACUGCAUUGGUGACUGGCAGGCUAGAGUAUGGCAGAGGGGGGUGAGAAUUCCACGUGUAGCAGUGAAAUGCGUAGAGAUGUGGAGGAAUACCGAUGGCGAAGGCAGCCCCCUGGCAAGUACUGACGCUCAUGCACGAAAGCGUGGGGAGCAAAC